Long non-coding RNA from Callithrix jacchus (white-tufted-ear marmoset), 3288 nucleotides. The record is from Ensembl. NCBI's taxonomy places the organism in Eukaryota, Metazoa, Chordata, Mammalia, Primates, Cebidae.
UGACUCUAAAUGUCAUACUUUCACUGGUGAAAAGAGGAUGUCAUUAAUUAAUGACACUUUUCUUUACUAUCUUACAAGCAAGCUGCCAUAUCUCUCAGUUCAAUCAAAGGAAGCUCUCCAGUCUGGCUGCUGAAAAUAUUGACCACAAGCUUUCUCCAAGCAAAUGAAUACUUUCACAUGUUGGUUUCCUUCUCCUUUGCUGGAGUGUGAUUCAAUACCCAGAGGUGAAUCAUCGUUUUGUGAAGCUAAGGGAAUCCAAUGUCUGCUCCUGAAAGUGAACCACAAGCUGUGUCUACCACUGAAGUCUGGCUGAAAGCUGAGGGUGAACUGAAAUCAGCAUCCAGGCAAAGUUACUGUGAGUAAAGUUCAGCCAGCCUGCAUGACAAAAGCGCCUUUGAGCACCAAUUAGAUGCCAAGCCCCUGCUGGAGUCCAGGGAUGUGAGAGUGAAUGAGCCCCAGACACUGCUCCAGAAGAUCUUAUAACCUAGUUGAAGAGAUAGUUAUGUAAAUAAAUAUCAACAAAUUCCAGUGCUGUGGCUUAAUUCUAUGCAAGGUGUUGUGGGAGCACAGGAGAAGGAUGUGCCACUCAUACUGUACUGGACAAUGAAUACAGUGCUGGAGCUGAGCCUGGGAAAAUGCGGGGAGAUUUCUCACCUCCUGAAAGGGAGCCUGAGGGGAAUGGAGUAGCUUGAGAAAAGUCAUGACUCGACAAUGUCAGUGUAUCACUGUUAAACCGAGGAGCUGGGAUGUUGUAGGAGACGAAACAGGUGAGGCUCUCAGGGACAAGGCAGUGAGCAGAUGUGUGCCGGAUGGGAAGCUUGAUUUUUAGUCGACAAAUGAGGAAGCGCAGAAAAAAACCAUCCAAAGGCAAAGCUGGCUUCUUGCCGAAACUGUGCACGGCUGUCUCAGGCCUGAUAUCUGCACCCCAUACCCUUCAGAGGCAGAAGGGUUUCCUAAGCAAAAGUCCCAAAACUAAUCCAAGCUGCACUAGUUUGGGUCACAUCGCCAUUCUUAAAUUAAAUAUCAUGACCAAGACACAUGUCUCACCCGAAAGGCAGGUAAGUAGCCAGCUGCUUCAAAGACCAUGGAUCCCCAAGCAGAAAUAAAAGUAUUUUAAGUAGAGGACAUGGGAAAGUUGAUUCUUCUGGGGCAACAGGCAGGUGUCUGCCACCUGUAGUGCAAUCCCAGUCAGCUUUUGGUAAAGAGGACAAGCAGUGAUUUCGCACUUUGGGUUGUAAAGGCAAAUUCAUCUGAAUUUAAAAAACAAACAAAACAGAAACCUUCUUCCGAAAUUUGUCACACAGUUUUCUUCAUUUCAUUUUAUUUUUCUCAAUUUCAGAGAUAAAACAUCAUCAGUGAGACAUGCCAGCUAACAUAUACCGACUUGGUAUGAACCGGGCUUCUUUUGUUUUUGCUUCUUUUACUUAUUUAAUUUUUAACAUUUUAGAAACUUAAAACUUAAGCAACUAAAGCAGACUCAAAGUAGCUGUUUUAUUCUCUACCUUCCUUGUCUGAUUAUGAUACUGUUAUCUUCCCUCUGAAAAAUAGAUAUUUGCUUUAUCUUAUUUGAAACUAGCCUGAGUUCCUGAACAAAGUACAAAUAUGUAAUAACCAUUUUUUUUGACAGAGAUUGGCUUAAAAGACACUGAUAGUUAAUGAAGAAAUGAAGAACAUCUCCGAAAUGAAUCCAGCUGCGUCAAUAUGGACCACCCUAGAAACUAAACCAAUUUGUGUGGUUUAUUCUUGUCCUCAAUCCAAUUUUUAACCCUUGAAGAAACUACUCAUCACAAAAGAAUCUCAGUUGCCAUUUUGGGGACUAAUUUUGUAUGUCAAACCGCUAACUUUCCCCUUUAUUCUAUGCUAUUCUUAGCCCAAGGUUGCUUGACGUUCAAUAAAUAUUAAAUGUAGCAAUAAUAAUGAUGAUGAUGACCAUGUAAAUAAAUAAAAAGAAAUAAUCCUUUAUAAGCCUUUUCAGAUUGUCUGCAUUUAUGAUUUCAGAAUUAGAGAAAAGUCAUUUCAUGGGGUCAAGUGGAAUGUCUUUUGCCCUCUUUAGAUGUUGUUAACUCAUGUUCAAUUUUCCAAAGUCAAAUGUACAAAGUUCUAAUGGAGUAAGAUAAUUCCCCAGUAAGCACACUGUCCAUCUGUAAACCAUAUUUAUGGUAUUUUUAAAGGUGAAAACAGCAUAUUUGUCAUGUGUAGCUUCAAAUGGAAUUGAAUAUUCUUUCUUGUACAAACCUCUAUUAAAAGAAGUCUUAAACUCAUAGGCAUUAUGAGUAUUCCUUUGGAUUGUGAGUAUUUCCACAAUAGCCACAGCUUAUACAUGUAUGUUACCUGCCUGAGCAUAAAGUCUGACACGUAGUGGGUGCACAUUAAACAUUUGUUAAAUAAGAAAUGUUUUAUUUUUGUUUUUAUUUUGGCUUCCCAAAUGUGAAAGCUGAAUUUGUGCAUGUUCUCCCAGCUGGAGAAAGCAGGUUAAUAAGCACUAUUAUAGUGAGUACAAUUUAAAGCAGUGAUUACAAAUUAUUUCUGUUUUUCAUGCCAAGCCUUGUGUUUAAGAGUAGGAUGGGCAUGCUGCGAUUGAUUAGGAAUGCCUGCCAUGAAGAGAGCAUAGUGGAACAGCAGCACUGAGCCAGACAGCUGCCAUCCAGAUAUAAAGGUAUCUCCCCCACAACAGAGGGAUGGGCUUGGCAGAGAAGACAUAGGAGAGCAAAUGUCCCAUUGGUGUAUUUCCCAGCACCAGAAAAGCUUAGCAACGGACUCCAUUAAAAAGUAAGUAUGCAAAUUGCAUUUGUUGAGAAUUUGCUUAUAAUUUCUUUUCUAUGAAUGGACUAAAUCUUCAGCAAAUAUUCAAGACAUACAAACACAUGGCCCAGAGUUAUUUGAGGAUUUUCAGAAUUUGAGAAAAAAUUCCAACCAGGCAAUAAUUGAAGUUCCACUAUUAUGAAUGCAUUGAUUUUUGUAAAUUCAAGUACAGGCCUCUUUCAUUUGAAAUAAAAUAAACCAGAUUGCUGUCCACCCUUGGCAUUUUACAGUUGACAGAACAAGCAUUGAACUCCUGCUAGGCCCAAAAAGACAAACUAUAAAUAGUAGCCAAAAAUCACCCCAAACCCACUUCAUGACUAACUGGAGUAUCUCGUCUUCUGGGGCUAUUGUUUGACUUGGUGACUCUGCAGAUAUCUUCCAUUUGCCCAUCCAUACCCUCUGCUCUUAAAUAGGAAGCUGGCCUCUUGGGUAACACAACUGUCUCCGGUACUCCUCGGCCACCAACUGAGGUCAGCCAAAAGAAGC